GCACAUUUUAAUUCAUGGUUCUACAAAAGAAGAAGAAAAUUUUCGUUUGGUCUCUUCUCCACCUCGCCCCCAUUGCCCCUCUCACCAUUCUUUGAUUUUGAUUUUCCGAAUCCUUCAUCAAAACCCUAAACCCUUUCAAUCCCAAAUUCUGUUUUCAACCUUCCAUCAAUCCUCCAAUGGCUACAAAUCUCGCUCUCCGGCUCAGAUCACGUCUCCUUUUGCAAUCCUCAGCUCGUUUCCGCUCCAAUUUUCAUCACAUUCAACCACCCCACCUCCCCAAAUCUUCCCCUCUUAUCUCCUCUGCACUUUCUGAUCUUCGUCGAUUUCCCAAUGACCCCAUCUUCAAUCUCUCUGGAUUUCGGUUCUUCUCAACUGCACGGCGGAAUCUGACCCGUCCCAAGCAGGUCGACAUCGGAGCUCGGGCCAGGCAGCUCCAGACGCGGCGGCUUUGGACUUACGCUCUUACUUUCAGCUGCAUCGCGGGAUUCAUCGUCAUCGUCCUCAGUAAUUUUCAAGAGCAUCUGAUGUUCUACGUGACACCUACCGAUGCGCUCGAGAAAUACUCUGCGAAUCCCUCGAAGAACAAGUUUCGUCUCGGUGGUUUGGUUCUUGAAGGCAGUGUAAUGCAUCCGGCGUCGUCUUCUCAAAUGGAGUUCGUGAUAACUGAUUUGAUCACUGAUAUAUUGGUUCGCCAUCAGGGGUCGUUGCCGGAUUUGUUUAGAGAGGGGCAUUCGGUGGUGGUUGAAGGUUUUGUUAAGCCAUUUACCGAUGAGAUAAGGAAUGAGGUCUCUACGAAGAGCGUUUCGGGAAAAGCGAGAAGUGGGGAAUAUUAUUUUUCGGCUACUGAGGUUUUGGCAAAGCACGAUGAGAAGUAUAUGCCUGCGGAAGUUGCGGCGGCAAUCGAGAAGAACAAGAAGAAGAUCGCGGAAGGAGAAUUGGGGUUGAACCACGCUUGAUUCAAUGGGACACUCGCUGCUAACUGCAAUAUUUUGAUUUGAAUUCAAUGCUAUUUAUUGGCAACCCAAAGCAUGUAGAAUCAUAUCCCAAAUAUAAGGCCAAAAAGAAACAAAAAAUAGUGCCAGCACAAUGACAACAUAUACAUACAAACCAUCAAAAUCCAAUCAUACUGAUCAAUGAGAAAGCAGGAAGAUCUGAUAUCUAAUGCCAGAGAAGCACAAUGAGGCAGAUGAACAUUGAUAGCAGAGCCCUGCUACUCGGAAACGUCACCUGAAAUCCAGUCCCAGCAUCCAUAGCAGGUAAUGGUGCAAGUCCUCCACUGUCUUGAGCUCUCGCCACUUCAAGCAGAAGCACCAGAGUCAUCACAAACAAGCUCAUUGCCUUGUGGAUGCUGAAUCCUGCCAUUGAUGUCUGCACAGAAAGCUCGAAAAGAGAGAUCAAAAGAGAGGAAGAAUCGAAUCGAAGGUAAUAUGAAAUUGGUGCUGGAAAUUGGAGUAAGAGAAGCAUAUUUAUACAGGCAUGUGGAGAUGAAUUAGAGAUUAAAUUGUUUGUGAUUCAUGAAUAUUGAGUUUACUGAUUGUGAUGUUGCUUCUUAGAUGGCUUACAGCUCCUUUUGAAGAUGACAUAUCAGCUUACUUUGCUGCUCACAGGGCCCUAUAAUGCCUCUCCCACAGCUAAUUUGAGUAAUUUUGUGGUAUCAGGUAAACAUUUUUGUAUUUCUUGUGUUUUGCUCCUCAUUUAAUACCACUCUACCUUAGUACUACUUUCCUUUUAAUAGAACUUUAGUUAAUAACCACAGUGGACUUUUUAUUUACUUUUUUUUUUAAUUUUAUUACUUGAGAUAUUGUUGAAUGUAAAUAGAAUCUUUGUGUAGCCUAUUGUUUGGUUUGCAGCUUUUAUAUAGUUAUCACUAAAUGUGGAAGGUGCUGCAAGUCUAAGCUUAUCUCAAUCCACUAAUGUAAAUAGAACCUUGCAUUGAGUCAAAUAGUGAUGAGAAAGAGAUUUGAAAAUAUAAUUCUAAGAUUUUUUACUCCUUUUUUUUUUUUUGUUUUAUAUCUAUGAAUGUUCGGGGUCACUUUACGUGCACUCCGCUAAUCUCUUGGGACAACUCACCUAAUCCUACUAUAUUUACGUGUCAGAAAUUCGUGGAGAAUCUUAGGUUGGUGGUCACUAUGGAUUGAACUCAUUCCCUCUAAACCUUUGUAAAAAAAACCCAAGUUGUUUAUUUAUCAUUAGGUCAUUCCAUGAUGGUUUAGUUCAAAAUUCUACUUCUUUUGUAUUUGGUAGCUUACAAAUUUGACGACUACAUUUUUAUCUUUGUC
Molecule: non-coding RNA, 2279 nt
Organism: Benincasa hispida (wax gourd)
Lineage: Eukaryota; Viridiplantae; Streptophyta; Magnoliopsida; Cucurbitales; Cucurbitaceae
Source: RefSeq, a predicted model, not a curated record